RNAcentral lists this transfer RNA (72 nucleotides) under Mustela putorius furo (domestic ferret). It matches the Rfam family "tRNA". Rfam says of the family: Transfer RNA (tRNA) molecules are approximately 80 nucleotides in length. Their secondary structure includes four short double-helical elements and three loops (D, anti-codon, and T loops). Lineage: Eukaryota; Metazoa; Chordata; Mammalia; Carnivora; Mustelidae. The record is from Rfam by way of RNAcentral.
GCCUGGGUGGCUCAGUUGGUUAAGCAGCUGCCUUCAGCUCAGGUCAUGUGGGAUCGAGUCCCACAUCGGGCU